Non-coding RNA from Rattus norvegicus (Norway rat), 2398 nucleotides. The record is from RefSeq and is a predicted model, not a curated record. NCBI's taxonomy places the organism in Eukaryota, Metazoa, Chordata, Mammalia, Rodentia, Muridae.
GCUGGUUGCCAGGCACCGACUUGGGUGCUGCAAACAGGCCCUGGAGACAGUCUUCAGGCACUGGCAGCUCUCGUGUGGACGUUCACGCACUCUCUCUGCUAUGCUAAGGCUCUUUGCUCAUUCUCUUGGAUCAAUUUGAUGCUGUACAGAGUCUAUUUCUGGGAGCCAAUGACUUAGGAAUAUUGAAUUUUCCAAACUCAGUAACACGGCUUAACUGAUCCUCAGAAUAAACCACCGGACCACCAUCUAACUGAUGGAUCGGGCACCUCAGUCCUCAGCUGUAGCCUAUACAAGGUGUCCCUGCUGUGAGCUAGGAGCCCACAAAGAGUUCUGCCGGAGACGGGUGUUCAUCAGAAGGUGAAAUCACCUUUGCGUUUUGAUCCAUGGCUUCCAAAGAUAGAAGAGAUGAUUGGUUUUCCCCGAGAUUCAAAUGAUACCGGCAUCCCGAACGAUGCUCAGAGAAUGUCGCUUUAAACAACAAAAUGAAGGCGUCCAUUGAUGGAUCUCCCACCCUUGCUGCUCCUGGCAGCGUCGCGUCGCUUUGGCUUGUGAAGAGGGCCGUGCCAGGAUUUCCUGCUCCACACCUGCCUUUGGAGGGGGCUGCAUGUGAGGAUUCUGUCAGGCCACCGCAGCUUGCAGCAGCUGCCAACCUGAGGACGAGGGCUGGAUAAUUUACAAUGCAAGGAAUCCAUUCUUUUUGAGAGGGGGAAGGGAGAAAUCAAGAUUUAAGCUCCUUAUCCUGGGCUGAACUUUUCUCCUCCAUUCUUAAUGGCACUGGGCGUAAAUAAACCAUCCAUUUUGCUUUGUAGAACUGGCUGGUCUUUGCACAAACUCACUGGAAUCGACAGCCCAGGUUCAGAACCAAGACCACAGGUCUAGGCUGUAACCGAUUUGUAAACAAUACUAAUUUACAUUUUCCCACUGUCUGUUAGCCUUAUCAGGACCUGUCUUUCUAUUCUUCUGCCCCCAACAUCUGCAGAGAAAGUUUUUUUUUUUUUAUUGUCAGCUACUAAUGGUUCUUCUGUCCCAUAUUUUUAAUGUGAAGAUUAAAUAUUUAUAAAUGCCUUGUCAAUAGCAUCCCAUAACCAGGCCCUCUCGAAGCCACAAAGCAUGGACCUAAGCUCACUCCCACGAAGUCAGGGGUCACAGGUCAAGCGAGCAGUGAACAGCAGCCAUGAAGCACAUCUGCUGUCACUAAGUCUGGACAAUUAUUUAUGGGGCAGGGCUCUUCCUUAAAAGGCCCACAGCAUGGCAAGGGAAGUUUCCUUUGUCUCAGUCAAGCUCCUCUGGCCAAGUAGUUACUGGAAUCAGACUCCCAGCCGUGGGGCAGGCAACCAGCCUGGAUACCAUCUGCUUGGAGAAGAAUGCAGGAAGCACCUACAAGUGAAAGACUUAGGAGUGGGGAACAGGGAUGAUGAAAAGGAUGAGACACGAAGGUCCCGUGCCUCAGACAAGGAUUGGUUGGAAAUAGUAGAUUUUAAACAGGUGUGUGUGAAUCCCCUGGGCAUUUGGACAUAGGUGAGCCCGGGAACGAGGCUACAUAGAGCAUCCUGGGAAGGAGGGGGUGGCAGAGUUCAGCAGGAAGCAGCUCAUGAGCAAGGACAGGAAGAAAUGUCUCCAAAAGGUCAAUAGACCCAUGAAGCCAAUGCUUCCACCAGUCAAUAGUCACAUGACGAUGGGAGAUGGGAAUGGCCGCCCCAGAAGAGUUGGCGGGGACAUCCCUUCCAGCUGCAGGUAUACACAUCUGUUCUUCUGUAGAGCGGUUCCUGGUCCUUGGGGGUGAACAUCUGUGUGGCUAGAAGUUCUCAGUCCACAGAGGGCGGGGCAAUGGGGAACUCUGGGAGGAGAGUACACAGCCUAAAGGGGAGAAGUAGCAGAGGGGAGCAAGUUUGGUGGGGAUUCAAGGUUCUCCCCUGGAAAGAGAGACACAGAGAGAUUUUCUUUCAGGUAUGAGAUGGGAUGAUGGUGGUCAGAGAAGAUUAUCCAGAGUGGGUGUGGUACUUAUGGGACUGGGUCAGUGACAAAGAGGACCAAUGUGACCUGUGUGAUGCCAGCAUUACACACCCAAGGAAUCAGAAGAAAAGGACAUCAGCAUCUACUCUGUCAGCUUGGUGAGGUCAUUUUAGAAGCACAUGCUUUUUUUGUCCAGAAACUUUGAAGUAAAACCUGGUGAGGGCAAAGUAGCUGGACUCUGAAAGGCUGCUUUGGUGACCCUAGUCCACUCCAGCCUGGGUGAAGCCAGGUCUACAGAGCAGAAGAAGCACCAGGGUGAGCCUGAUACAGAAGUCUAACGAUUGUUCCUGUCUUUUAGUAAGCAGGUUACACCUGCUCCGCCCUCCUCCGGGGACUCCUCAUUGAGUUCUCUAGGGUAAAUGAUGUCUGUGUGGGAGCUUGCAAA